RNAcentral lists this long non-coding RNA (238 nucleotides) under Bos taurus (domestic cattle). RNAcentral's name for it is "long non-coding RNA NONBTAT026959". The record is from RNAcentral. Lineage: Eukaryota; Metazoa; Chordata; Mammalia; Artiodactyla; Bovidae.
ACCAGAUGAUUUUAGUUAAGUAGCAAAGAUCUUUCCAGGCUUUAUUUUACAUUUUAUCUUAAUAGCCUAAUUGAUAAGAUUAUGAUGUAUAUCCUAAUAUUAGUAAUCUUUGGUAGUUUGAGGAGGUAGCAAAGGGUGAGCCCUUUGGGUUUUAACUUACUCUCCCUUUUUCUAUACUUUUCCUGUGCUGUGCAUUUUAAUUUUUGCUUAUUUUAUCUUUCAUAAAAUUUUGUUGAAG